Molecule: ribosomal RNA, 528 nt
Filed under: Salmonella enterica subsp. salamae
Lineage: Bacteria; Pseudomonadati; Pseudomonadota; Gammaproteobacteria; Enterobacterales; Enterobacteriaceae
Description: partial 23S ribosomal RNA
Rfam family: Bacterial large subunit ribosomal RNA
Source: RNAcentral
AGACCCGAAACCCGGUGAUCUAGCCAUGGGCAGGUUGAAGGUUGGGUAACACUAACUGGAGGACCGAACCGACUAAUGUUGAAAAAUUAGCGGAUGACCUGUGGCUGGGGGUGAAAGGCCAAUCAAACCGGGAGAUAGCUGGUUCUCCCCGAAAGCUAUUUAGGUAGCGCCUCGUGAAUUCAUCUCCGGGGGUAGAGCACUGUUUCGGCUAGGGGGCCAUCCCGGCUUACCAACCCGAUGCAAACUGCGAAUACCGGAGAAUGUUAUCACGGGAGACACACGGCGGGUGCUAACGUCCGUCGUGAAGAGGGAAACAACCCAGACCGCCAGCUAAGGUCCCAAAGUCAUGGUUAAGUGGGAAACGAUGUGGGAAGGCCCAGACAGCCAGGAUGUUGGCUUAGAAGCAGCCAUCAUUUAAAGAAAGCGUAAUAGCUCACUGGUCGAGUCGGCCUGCGCGGAAGAUGUAACGGGGCUAAACCAUGCACCGAAGCUGCGGCAGCGACACUUUAGUGUUGUUGGGUAGGGGAG